RNAcentral lists this unclassified non-coding RNA (229 nucleotides) under Hevea brasiliensis (rubber tree). The record is from RNAcentral. Lineage: Eukaryota; Viridiplantae; Streptophyta; Magnoliopsida; Malpighiales; Euphorbiaceae.
GUCUACCGGAGGACACGAGGCCUUAUUACGGCAAAUAUUUGCGUGAAAACUUCGUUAACUACAGAGAGGUCGACGCCAACGACACUACUGCCCUAGACGAGCUCUUCCGCCGAGCCUACAAUCACUCCCUCUGGGUCCUCAAUAAGUAUUCAGUUGAUGAAUCGGCCGCUAAUAAGCUGAAGGAGAUUUGUUGUGGUUGAAAAGAAAACAAGAAAGAGUACAACUCAGC